CACGCGAUUCCACGCUGUCCUCUCUUGA
This 28-nucleotide small RNA is filed under the name Bombyx mori (domestic silkworm). RNAcentral's name for it is "ovarian small RNA-13027". The record is from RNAcentral. Lineage: Eukaryota; Metazoa; Arthropoda; Insecta; Lepidoptera; Bombycidae.